RNAcentral lists this ribosomal RNA (454 nucleotides) under uncultured bacterium. Its description in RNAcentral is "partial 16S ribosomal RNA". It matches the Rfam family "Bacterial small subunit ribosomal RNA", at positions 355 to 824 of the family's 1533-position model. The record is from RNAcentral.
UGGGGAAUAUUGCACAAUGGGCGAAAGCCUGAUGCAGCAACGCCGCGUGAGUGAUGAAGGUCUUCGGAUUGUAAAGCUCUGUCUUUUGGGACGAUAAUGACGGUACCAAAGGAGGAAGCCACGGCUAACUACGUGCCAGCAGCCGCGGUAAUACGUAGGUGGCGAGCGUUGUCCGGAUUUACUGGGCGUAAAGGGUGCGUAGGCGGAUGUUUAAGUGAGAUGUGAAAUACCCGGGCUUAACUUGGGUGCUGCAUUUCAAACUGGAUAUCUAGAGUGCAGGAGAGGAGAAUGGAAUUCCUAGUGUAGCGGUGAAAUGCGUAGAGAUUAGGAAGAACACCAGUGGCGAAGGCGAUUCUCUGGACUGUAACUGACGCUGAGGCACGAAAGCGUGGGUAGCAAACAGGAUUAGAUACCCUGGUAGUCCACGCCGAUAAACGAUGAGUAGCUAGGUGUA